GCCUGGUUGAUCCUGCCAGUAGCAUAUGCUUGUUUCAAAGGCUAAGCCAUGCAUGUCUAAGUACAGUCGUGUUUACACGGCGAUACCGCGGACGGCUCAUUAAAUCAGUCGUGGUCCAAAUGGGUCCGUCCUCACGGUAUACUUGGAUAACCGUGGUAAUUCCAGAGCUAAUACAUGCAACUCAUAUCCCGAGGUGCGCAAGCACCGACGGAAGCACUUAUUAGACCAAUGCCCUCGGCGUCGUGCGCCUUGUGCGUGCGCACGUUCGCCGCCCGCAUAAAUGGUGACUCUGGAUAAUUACCUGGACGAGCGCACGUAUCUGUUCAAGCAGAACGGCGCCGCCUCUUUCGAGUGUCUGCCUUAUCAGCCAUCAAUCGCUCGUUAUGUGCGAACGAUGGCCUUGACGGGUAACGGGGAAUCAGGGUUCGAUUCCGGAGAGGCAGCCUGAGAAACGGCUACCACGUCUAAGGACGGCAGCAGGCACGCAAAUUACCCAAUCCCAGAACUCUGGGGAGGUAGUGACGAAAAAUAACGAUGCGGGCGCUCCUUCUGGGGCCCCGCAAUCGGAAUGAGUAUGUCUUAAAUAACCUGUCGAGAACCCACUGAAGGGCAAGUCUGGUGCCAGCAGCCGCGGUAAUUCCAGCUUCAGUAGCAUCUAUUAAAGUUGCUGCGGUUAAAAGGCUCGCAGUUGGAGCCACUGGUGUUUGGUAUAUGGAGUAGCUGGACGUUGGGUACCUCGUGUCCCCGUCCUGUUGUCUGCUCCUGACUCUAUGGCACUGAAUAUGGGAAAACCUCGUGCGGCUUGGGCGUUUGCUCAGAGGCGUGGUCGCGUCGGGCAUGCGCGUGCCUGUCCGUGUGUGCUUGCAUGCACGCCGGGCGUGUCGCUGUGUGUUGGCGUUGGCGCCCUCUGUGUCCUUGCUCGCGCGGGGUGACUUCUGUGUCACCUUGAGUAAAUCAUGGUGCUCACAGCAGUCGUGCGGGCCUCGUGCCCUGUGAACAGUCUUUGCGGACUGAAUUGGUUUUGCAAGGCAUGACGAAACAUGACGUCGCUGCUGGUCGCGGGCGGAGGGCUUUGUUGGCCCUGCGGUUUGCCAGUAGUGACGUAAUGAUCAAUGGAGACGGUAGCUGGCAUUGGUAUUGCGCGGCGAGAGGUGAAAUUCUGCGACCCCCGCAAGACCUCCUAAAGCGAAGGCGUCUGCCAAGGACGUGUUCACCAAUCAUGAACGAAAGUCAGAGGAUCGAAGGCGAUCAGAUACCGCCCUAGUUCUGACCCUAAACGAUGCCAACCAUCAAUCCGCGUGAGCACCCUAUCUAACGGGCUCGGCGGGCAGCUCCCCACUACCGGGAAACCAGAGUUUAUGGGUUCCGGGGGGAGUCUGGUUGCAAAGCUGAAACUUAAAGGAAUUGACGGAAAGGCACCACCAGGCGUGGAGCCUGCGGCUUAAUUUGACUCAACACGGGCCAUCUUACCAGGCCAGCACUCUGGCAUGAUUGACAGAUUGAGAGCUCUUUCUCGAUUCAGUGGACGGUGGUGCAUGGCCGUUCUUAGUUGGUGGAGUGAUCUGUCUGGUUAAUUCCGAUAACGAACGAGACUCUCCUCUGCUAAAUAGUCGGCUGGAUCUUGAAUUGCUGAGUUGCUCAUUGCCAUGUUCGCGUGCGUUUAGCUUCGGCGUGUCCUGGGUCUCGUUUGGUUGGGGCGUUUCGUGCGUCUGCGUUGCCUUUGCGGGCGCGUGGCGUGUGUGCGUCGUCUUCCUGCGGGCUCGGUGGCGCGUUUGGGGCGGCGUGUUGUCGGGCGUGUGUCUUUGGCACUCCAAGUCCGUCGGCUCACACCCGCGAAAGCGGGUUGUGUGGUGCAAGUUCUUCUUAGAGAGAUUGACGGCUCUGAAGCCGUACGAGAAUGAGAGCAAUAACAGGUCUGUGAUGCCCUCAGAUGCCCUGGGCCGCACGCGCGCUACAAUGCUGGACACAGCAGGUCUAGCCUGCUCCGAGAGGAGCGGGUAACCCUGUCAAAGUCCUGAGUUGUGUAUCGGGCAUCACAUUCGUGGUGCAUUGGGCGUGCUUGGGCCUGGGGCUUGCAAUUCUUUCCCACAAACAAGGAAUGCCUUGUAGUGGCGAGUCACUGAGCUCGCUGUGACUCAGUCCCUGCCCUUUGUACACACCGCCCGUCGCUACUACCGAUUGGGUGUACCAGUGAGAACCUUGGACUGGCGUCCGGUGCCUCGCGCACCUGGGUCUGACGGAAAGAGGUUCGAACUGGUGCACUUAGAGGAAGUAAAAGUCGUAACAAGGUUUCCGUAGGUGAACCUGCGGAAGGAUCAUUA
Molecule: ribosomal RNA, 2321 nt
Filed under: Hyalella franciscae
Lineage: Eukaryota; Metazoa; Arthropoda; Malacostraca; Amphipoda; Hyalellidae
Description: partial small subunit ribosomal RNA
Rfam family: Eukaryotic small subunit ribosomal RNA
Source: RNAcentral